CAAAUGAUUAUUUUAAUAGUUGACGAAUCACUAAUUAUUAUUUCCGAUUAGUCGACGAAUCGGGUCAUGAGCAAUAAUUUCUUGACCGUUAUUAGCUUUAAGCUAACUAAAAACUAGAUAUAUAGCAUUAGCUGUGAUAAUGCUAGUGUAAAUACUGAAGAUGCAGAAGCUGAUAGCUGAAAUUACUGAUAUUGAUAGCUGAAUACGAUGAAACUAAAAGCCAGAUAAUAUAUUAGUUAAAUGCCAAAUUAGCUUAAAACGUUUGUAGAAAAUCCCAACUUAGCCAUAAACAGCUAGCAUAAAGCUGAAAUAUUAGCUAAACUCCAAAUUAGCCUAAAAACAAAAAAAAAUCCUAAAUUAGCCAAAAUGGUUAGCAUGGAGCUGAAAUAUUAGCUGAAAACGCUGAAGCCAACAGCCAGAUAAAAUACUAGUUACAUGCCAAAUUAGUCUAAAAACUUUUUUAAAAUCUUAAAUUAGCCAAAACAGCUAGCAUGUAGCUAAAAUUUUAGCUCAAAUAUAAAUUAGCCAAAAACUGAAAAAAUCCUAAAUUUCCCAAAAUAGCUAGCAUGGAGCUGAAAUGUUAGCUAAACUCCAAAAUAGGCUAAAAAAAGUAGAUUAGUCGACUAAUCGUGGUACCUCUAGUAGAAACCGCAGGAAGCAUUGCUGUUCCAAUGCAGGUUUUUCAAAAUAAAGCGCCAAACAUCUACGUUUACGCAGUUUAAACACAAAACUGAUUGAAACACGUUUGUGGAAACUCUGAUAAAAUGAAACGUUUUGGUCUCUUUCAGUCGAGGAAGAGCGAAGGUCGCCGCAUAUGAGACCUCGACCUCAGAGGAGUGCGAGGAACAAACCAGAAGAAAACAAACGGACGAAGAAAUGCAGUUAAAUGAACUCAAUGCAGCAAAAAUGUGAAAGAAGCUGAAAGAGCAGCGGUUUCCGUCUCUCUGAGGACUGAAGCCUCCGCGCACCAUUAACCCCGCGCCAUCCAUCAUCCGUCUCUUUACUCGAUGCGCCGCAGCGCCGUUAAUGUUAGUGCCUCUAAUGGAGCUGGCGCUCUUCCUCAGGUAAUGUAAGUGAUUAGGAGUCUAACUCUUUAUUGACCCCGGGUGACCUCCCAGUCCUGCAGUCACGAGAGGAAAAAGUCCAUA
RNAcentral lists this long non-coding RNA (1148 nucleotides) under Oryzias javanicus (javanese ricefish). RNAcentral's name for it is "lncRNA (ENSOJAG00000014762.1)". Lineage: Eukaryota; Metazoa; Chordata; Actinopteri; Beloniformes; Adrianichthyidae. The record is from RNAcentral.